AAUGAACGCUGGCGGCGCGCCUAAUACAUGCAAGUCGAGCGAGAAGACGUAGCAAUACGUUUGUAAAGCGGCGAACGGGUGAGGAAUACAUGGGUAACCUACCCUAGAGUGGGGAAUAACUAGCCGAAAGGUUAGCUAAUACCGCGUACGCUCCUUGGACUUCGGUUCAGGGAGGAAAGCGAUGCCGAGGGUAUCGCGCUCUUGGAUGGGCUCAUGUCCUAUCAGCUUGUUGGGAGGUAACGGCUCACCAAGGCUUCGACGGGUAGCUGGUCUGAGAGGACGAUCAGCCACACUGGCACUGCGACAC
Molecule: ribosomal RNA, 307 nt
Filed under: uncultured bacterium
Lineage: Bacteria
Description: bacterial SSU rRNA
Rfam family: Bacterial small subunit ribosomal RNA
Source: RNAcentral